AGUGAACGCUGGCGGUAGGCCUAACACAUGCAAGUCGAACGGCAGCACAGGAGAGCUUGCUCUCUGGGUGGCGAGUGGCGGACGGGUGAGGAAUGCAUCGGAAUCUACUCUUUCGUGGGGGAUAACGUAGGGAAACUUACGCUAAUACCGCAUACGACCUACGGGUGAAAGCCGGGGACCUUCGGGCCUGGCGCGAAAGAAUGAGCCGAUGCCCGAUUAGCUAGUUGGCGGGGUAAGAGCCCACCAAGGCGACGAUCGGUAGCUGGUCUGAGAGGAUGAUCAGCCACACUGGAACUGAGACACGGUCCAGACUCCUACGGGAGGCAGCAGUGGGGAAUAUUGGACAAUGGGCGCAAGCCUGAUCCAGCCAUACCGCGUGGGUGAAGAAGGCCUUCCGGGUUGUAAAGCCCUUUUGUUGGGAAAGAAAAGCAGUCGGUUAAUACCCGAUUGUUCUGAUCGGUACCCAAAGAAUAAGCACCGGCUAAAU
RNAcentral lists this ribosomal RNA (487 nucleotides) under Xanthomonas sp. oral taxon 037. RNAcentral describes it as "bacterial SSU rRNA". It matches the Rfam family "Bacterial small subunit ribosomal RNA", at positions 29 to 502 of the family's 1533-position model. The record is from RNAcentral. Lineage: Bacteria; Pseudomonadati; Pseudomonadota; Gammaproteobacteria; Lysobacterales; Lysobacteraceae.